This is a long non-coding RNA of Scaptodrosophila lebanonensis, 745 nucleotides long. RefSeq lists it as uncharacterized. Lineage: Eukaryota; Metazoa; Arthropoda; Insecta; Diptera; Drosophilidae. The record is from RefSeq and is a predicted model, not a curated record. The transcript has 2 exons.
UUCCUCGCUGUCUUUUUACUCCUCAUAUACUUUGCUGACUUGAAGCAAACAACCGAUAUUGAGUCAUCGGUUAAUCCCAUAACGUCUACCUAUGAAGCUGUUGACCCGGAACUGAACCCCGACAUUUUUCCAAAAAGCGCAGAAAUAGAGAACUGGGAUAAGCCAUUGGAAAACUUUAAAACAAGUAUUUCAGCCAAAUCGUCGAAAAAGUCGGGGAAAAACUCGCGAAAAAGGUUAACAAAACCAACUGCUAUAUCAAAGAAACAAAAGAAAAUCUUUUUCAAAUGGAUCAAAUGUGGGUUUCUCAAAGGAAGACUGGCUGCGCAAAAAUUAAUGUGUAUUGGCUUAGUGCCUACUGUAGCAGUGUGUGCAACCAAUAUAUUUAAUAUAACGAGGCAUAGUAUCAUCAUGGCAGGAUAUUCUACUCUCAAAGCAUUUCUCAGCGCUCUUUGGGCCUCUCGAACUUAUAUAUCUACUUUGAUUCGUUUUUUAAAGAAAGUAUUCAUAGAUAGUCAAAUGAUACGUUGCGCACGGUUGUGUUACAUUGCUUAUAAAAAAUUAGAAGAGUAUGACGAUGAUGUUGACCGUGAAUGUUAAAAUGUAAUUUGUAAAAUAUUUGAAACAUACAUAUUAAUGCUUAAUUAAUAUUCUGUCACAAGCGCAAUUGAGAAUUUGCCUAUUUAUGUAAGAUUUGUGUUUUCAACCAGUAAUUCAGAAUAAUAAAGUAAAGUGGGCAAAUCUUUAA